GCCAUCAUCACCAUCAUCACCAUCAUCAUCAACAUAGGGCAGCCAUCCCUAAUUGGCCUUGAAGUUACUGUGUUGCUGAGGAUAGCUGCCGCUCAUCCCGUGUCUAUCUCCUGGAUCCUGAGAUUUCAGCCUCCCUCCCUCAGGUCCCCCAGGGUUGGCCAUCACUUCUCCAUUGCUUCUGCUCUCACAAGUCCAUACAGCCCUGCUGGUGAGGUGGCUCGCUCCCCGGCCUCCAGCCGCCAGCCCGCUCAGGAAAAGGCACUUGCUACUAAGCCUUUGAGAUCUGAGCUCAGUGUCCUGGGAAGCCACGUGGAGAAGGGAAGAACCAGCUCCUGCAAGUUGCCCUCUGACCUCCAGAUGUGUGACCUCCAGAUGUGUGACCUCCAGAUGUAUGUUGACACAUGUGCACUCCCAUAAGUAAAUAAAUAUACU
Molecule: long non-coding RNA, 432 nt
Filed under: Mus pahari (shrew mouse)
Lineage: Eukaryota; Metazoa; Chordata; Mammalia; Rodentia; Muridae
Description: lncRNA (MGP_PahariEiJ_G0003791.1)
Source: RNAcentral